This 2085-nucleotide long non-coding RNA is filed under the name Equus asinus (donkey). RNAcentral describes it as "lncRNA (ENSEASG00005034286.1)". Lineage: Eukaryota; Metazoa; Chordata; Mammalia; Perissodactyla; Equidae. The record is from RNAcentral.
GCAUGCUGCCUUUCCUCACUCUCCUCUGCCAGUUUCCAUAAAGAAGAUAGAGGAUGACACUGACGGGAAAGGAAACAGAGUAGAUAAGAGGGAGCUUGCUAAGUGUGGACACACCUUCAAUACUCUUUUAAGAGCUGUCUAAGGUCGCUUCUUUAUAAGAUUUUCCUGUCUUCUUCAGGUAAAGCUUUUUGAAGUCCUCCGCAUUUUCUUGAUAUCUCUAUGCUCAUCCUUCUUAUGUUGCAUUGUAAUUUGGGGUGAUUAUAUAUUACUUCUCCACUCAUCUCCUCAUUCAUCCCUACCCCACAUCAGACUCUAUACUCUACAAGGCAGAAAAUGUGUCAUCCUUGCUUAUAGACCAGGUCCAGCCUAAUCACAAUGCCUGGCACAGAGUGGACACUCUAGACACCUCUGUUGAACAAAAGAAAAAAAAGGAAAGAAUAAAGAGAACUUUUCCUUCUUCCUUUUGUGUAUCCAUAUGUCCAGAGCACUUCAGAUUUUGUAUACAUUGAUUUCAUGUACCUACUAGGCAAUCAAUUUCAUGGAAGACAUACUGAGUGUCUAGUGUGUUCAGGCAUUGUGAUAGGCAACGUAAGUUACAGAAAGCCAGAAGAUGAGUGCCCUACUCAAGAAGCUUGCCGUCUAACUAGCAACUUGGAUAAUUGCAAAACUAGGUUUCUACUCUCAUUUAAGUACCUAUGGUAUGACCAAGCAAAUACUUAUGCUGUCCAUUAGUGAAAGAGGCCACUGCAACCCUUUUAACCAAAAAGUUGAAGUGAAUUUUCCAUAUGUGCUGCUUGCAUUUUCUCUUGGUACAAAGUUCCAGUCAACAUACAAAACCUCUUUGAAGAAAAAAAAGAAAUAAAAUUUAUGUAGAAAUUUACUUAAUCCUAAGUGAUGGGAGACAAAAAAGUCUUUCACCUCACUCAAACCACAUAAAGGACUUUCAAAAGCAUUUCAGCAUUCCUGGGCUCCGUUCCCGCCACAUAUCCUACUAGCCAGACAAGGAAGUACCUCUUUCCCUAUGUGAAGUCUCUUCUGUUGGACAAUUAGUUCCACGUCUUGGGAUCUCAUUUCCUAAGGUCCUGCCAGUGACCUUCUCUUAAAAACCAUUAAUUCUUGUGAGACUCUGGCCAGGUGAAGUUUGGUCUGGCUCCUGGACAAGGGCGAUCCUGAGCAGUCCUGUGAAGCCUGAAGCAGUAUUGCACAUCGCCCUGAAGUCGGAACAUUUUUGGCCCUGCGAUGACUGGCUCAGUAGGUAAAAUAACUGGAUGAAGCUUCACUGUGUAAGUCAUAACUCUAUAAUCACAGUUGUGUAUGUUUUUUACAAAAAGGAUUUGGCUUUGGGGUGGCAGGCAGCAGUGGUGAGCCCUUCCAGGGAGUUCUUGUGACUCUUGCCAGGGUUAUUUAUACUCGAUGAAAUGGUUCCUUGAGCUCUGCCCAAUGACUGCUUCCCCACCUAUCCACCCAAGCCCCAUCUAAAAUCAAAUCAAACCACACACACCUAUGUCUCUGCCCUCUUUCCCUGAACAGUUGGAGUUUUAUAAGGUUACCUUGGAACUCCUCUGGCCUUUCCUUUAGAGCAGAUCAACACUUGUUGACUAAGACUGGUCCUUUGUUCCAGGGAAAAGAAAAGGUCAAGAGAAGUGAGGAGCAUUUUCUUUUUGACUAUCACCUAAGGAUCUCUAUUUUUCUUCAUUUCAGGCGUAUUACCUUCCAAUGUGUCUACCUGUCUAACAGAGGAAAAUACACAUUCUGAAAGAUGUUCUCUGGCCAAGCACUGUGCUGCAGCUUUCUGGUCUUCGAGGUCGAAUAGGAAUUUAAAGGAAGAGAAAGGGACCAAGAUGGGAAGCAAUGAUGUGUACAAAACAAAAUAAAACAAAACAAAACAAAGGGGCAGCGGGAAAAAGAAGGAGAGAGAAAAAGAAAACGCAGCAACGAAGCAAACAAAUGUAUAGUUACAGAAGACUGGGAACAUUCCAGGCUAUUUCCAUUAUCCGUACCUCUCCAUCAGACCCAAGCUCUUUGAAAGGAACAUAGGACAAACAGAAGAGUUGAAUAAAAUUUAAAAUAAGUGUUUCAAAGCAU